UGGAACUCAGAGUUUCCAAAUAUGAAAAUGUGUGAGUCGAGGAAACACCAGUUUCUUUAACUAAUUGGAACUGAGGGUUCUGGCACGGCCAAUAGAUAACUGGGCAUGCUUUAAUAACCUGCUAGUCUGCCUCCUUAUUGCUUCCUCGCAGCAUUUACUCCACUGGUCAACAAACCUCCCUGCGCUUGCCCCCUCGUCCUCACCCGGAAGAGCCAUCUCCGGUCCCUCCUCAUCAUCUUCUGAUGCCUUGCCACCCACGGCCCUGAUGUAUUCGGCUCCCCACGGCUGCAUGGCAGAAGAUAACCGCCUUUCCAGGAAGUCUCUUUUUCAAGGUAGAAUUGUAGAAGAACACCCUAACCCUACGGAACAAGAUACAGCCGUAGACCCAACAACCUUCAAACCUAGAAUUCUGGAAGGCCUCCAAGGACAUUACGUGCUCUGAGGAAGAUGAAGAUGAAGAAGAGGGGGUCCAAAAACGCCCCCAGACACAAUUUCCAAGAGGCGUGGCGAGGGCAGAACCUGGGUGGUGACAGGACGGGGAUUGGGCAAAAAUCAUUAUAAAAACUGUGGACAUCUGUAUUUCGGGAGCGCAUGCUGGGGGUAUUCCAGAAAGCCUGGGGGCUCAUUAAAGCCUUUGUAUCCUUAUCUCCUA
This is a long non-coding RNA of Myiozetetes cayanensis, 652 nucleotides long. RefSeq lists it as uncharacterized. The record is from RefSeq and is a predicted model, not a curated record. The transcript has 2 exons. NCBI's taxonomy places the organism in Eukaryota, Metazoa, Chordata, Aves, Passeriformes, Tyrannidae.